This 776-nucleotide ribosomal RNA is filed under the name uncultured Neocallimastigales. RNAcentral describes it as "partial large subunit ribosomal RNA". It matches the Rfam family "Eukaryotic large subunit ribosomal RNA", at positions 23 to 646 of the family's 3401-position model. The record is from RNAcentral. Lineage: Eukaryota; Fungi; Neocallimastigomycota; Neocallimastigomycetes; Neocallimastigales.
GAGACUCUGUGCGCGUGCAUAUCAAUAAGCGGAGGAAAAGAAACUAACAAGGAUUCCCUUAGUAACGGCGAGUGAAGCGGGAAGAGCUCAAAUUUGAAAUCUUCAAGGUUCUACCUUGACGAAUUGUAGUUUAUAGAAGUGUUUUCUGUUAGUAGAGUGGCAAAAGUUCUUUGGAAUAGGACAUCAUAGAGGGUGAGAAUCCCGUAUUUGGUCAUUCUUUCUAGCUUUGUGAUACGCUUUCAACGAGUCGGAUUGUUUGGGAAUGCAGUCCAAAAUGGGUGGUAAAUUUCAUCUAAAGCUAAAUAUUGGCGAGAGACCGAUAGCGAACAAGUACCGUGAGGGAAAGAUGAAAAGAACUUUGAAAAGAGAGUUAAACAGUACGUGAAAUUGUCAAAAGGGAAGCGUUUGACACCAGUGUUGUUUUUUCCGAAAAUCAAUUACGAAUGUUUUGUUUUUAAGAAGUUAUGACUUCAUCGGCUUGCUUCUCUCUUUACGAAACUUUCUUAAUGCACUUUUUCGGUUAACAAGUCAACAUCAAUUUCUUUUGUUGUAAAAGGGUAUGAGGAAGGUGGCUUUCUUUUCGGAGAAAGUGUUUAUAGCCUUGUACCUCUGCAAUCGGAGAGAUUGAGGUCCGCAGCGUAGAUCCUUCGGGGUUAGAUACAUUUGUGCUAAGUUAUAGCUUUUCAUAGACAACUUGUUGACUAUGUUAAGUCUUGUAGCUUACUCGCUUAUGCUAUUUUACCUACGCUUAGGAUGUUGACGAUCAGCUGAGCGCG